RNAcentral lists this small RNA (581 nucleotides) under Malus domestica (apple). RNAcentral describes it as "sRNA MD01G0138900". The record is from RNAcentral. Lineage: Eukaryota; Viridiplantae; Streptophyta; Magnoliopsida; Rosales; Rosaceae.
AGAGGAGAGACUGCUUAGAAUUAUCUCUCACAAAUCCUUCCAUGUUUACCUUCAUGACUAUCUUACAGCGAAAACUCUCCUGAAAGCAGAAAAGUGACCACCUCUCUCCUCUCUGGCCUGCGUGAGAUUUCCUUAGAUCUUGAGUCGCUUUCCUCUGUCUGACUCUCAUAUGGCCAAUGACCCAUCAUUUCCUUUUGCCUUAAGACAUAUUAAAACUCUCCCUCUCUCUCUCUCUCUCUUCUCGGCAACUCCCUUUUCUUCUUCACCUGCCAGGAAAAUAAAUAUGGAUUAGGGUUUUGAACAACGCUACAACGCUUCUAAUUACUUAGAUUCUAGGGUUUCGUAGUAGUCUCUUCCACUAUUUUGUGCACUGUUUGUGGAUCCUAUAUUCUGCAGACAUGGACUACUACUAGCUGCUUGGAAGUUUCAUCACAAAUCAAUGAUGCUGAUGUUGCUUUCAUUGAUUUCAGUUCGUCGUAGUGAAAGUGGUGCAGUUACAUGGAGUUUCAAGUUCCAAUGUGGUUGAUGCAGCUCCAGUACUGUCGUUUAUUAGGAUCAAGUUCAAAUUUAUUGUUUUAUUA